RNAcentral lists this ribosomal RNA (459 nucleotides) under uncultured bacterium. RNAcentral describes it as "partial 16S ribosomal RNA". It matches the Rfam family "Bacterial small subunit ribosomal RNA", at positions 338 to 795 of the family's 1533-position model. The record is from RNAcentral.
CCUACGGGGAGCAGCAGUGAGGAAUAUUGGUCAAUGGCCGAGAGGCUGAACCAGCCAAGUAGCGUGAGGGAAGACGGCCCUACGGGUUGUAAACCUCUUUUGUCGGGGAGCAAAGCGAGUCACGUGUGACUCAUUGAGAGUACCCGAAGGAAAAGCAUCGGUUAACUCCGUGCCAGCAGCAGGGGUAAUACGGAGGGUGAGAGCGUUAUCCGGAUUUAUUGGGUUUGAAGGGUGCGCAGGCGGAGGGGUAAGUCCGCGGUAACAUUGCGGGGCUCAACCCCGUACUGCCGUUGAAACUGUAUCCCUUGAGUGCGCGAGAAGUAUGCGGCAUGCGUGGUGUAGCGGUGAAAUGCAUAGAUAUCACGCAGAACUCCGAUUGCGAAGGCAGCAUACCGGCGCGCAACUGACGCUCAUGCACGAAAGCGUGGGUAUCGAACAGGAUUAGAUACCCGGGUAGUC